RNAcentral lists this ribosomal RNA (1013 nucleotides) under uncultured bacterium. Its description in RNAcentral is "bacterial SSU rRNA". It matches the Rfam family "Bacterial small subunit ribosomal RNA", at positions 8 to 999 of the family's 1533-position model. The record is from RNAcentral.
AGAGUUUGAUCAUGGCUCAGGAUGAACGCUAGCGACAGGCCUAACACAUGCAAGUCGAGGGGCAUCGGGACGUAGCAAUACGUUGCCGGCGACCGGCGGAUGGGUGAGUAACGCGUAUGCAACCUACCCGUAGCAGGGGGAUAGCCCGUUGAAAGACGGAUUAAUACCCCGUAACACAGGGGCUCCGCAUGGAGAUUAUUGUUAAAGGGUCAUUUCUUUUAGAGGUGGUCCGGCUACGGAUGGGCAUGCGUUCCAUUAGGUAGUUGGUGUAGGUAACGGCUCACCAAGCCGACGAUGGAUAGGGGAACUGAGAGGUUGGUCCCCCACACUGGUACUGAGACACGGACCAGACUCCUACGGGAGGCAGCAGUGAGGAAUCUUGGUCAAUGGACGCAAGUCUGAACCAGCCAUGUCGCGUGAAGGAGGACGGCCCUAAGGGUUGUAAACUUCUUUUGCAGCGGAAUAAAGUUUGCCACGAGUUGGCGAUUUGCAAGUACGCUGCGAAUAAGGAUCGGCUAACUCCGUGCCAGCAGCCGCGGUAAUACGGAGGAUCCGGGCGUUAUCCGGAUUUAUUGGGUUUAAAGGGUGCGCAGGCGGGGAAUUAGGUCGGCGGUGAAAUUUCGGGGCUCAACCUCGACAGUGCCGUUGAAACCGUUUCUCUUGAGUGCGGAUGAGGUAGGCGGAAUUUGUGGUGUAGCGGUGAAAUGCGUAGAUAUCACAAGGAACACCGAUUGCGGAGGCAGCUUACUAAACCGUUACUGACGCUCAUGCACGAAGGCGUGGGGAUCAAACAGGAUUAGAUACCCUGGUAGUCCACGCAGUAAACGAUGAUUACUUGCUGUUUGCGAUACACAGUAAGCGGCGAAGCGAAAGCGUUAAGUAAUCCACCUGGGGAGUACGUUCGCAAGAAUGAAACUCAAAGGAAUUGACGGGGCCCGCACAAGCGGAGGAACAUGUGGUUUAAUUCGAUGAUACGCGAGGAACCUUACCGGGCUUGAAUGCAUUCGACGGGU